UGUAUAUAUGUAUGGAUACAUGUUUAUAUAAAUACACACACACACAUACACACACACAAACACACACACACAUAUAUAAAUUUAAACUUUUCUCCCCUAUGACACCUCUGAGAUUAGAAGUAAAUGAUUUUGGCUAUUUUGGAAAUUAAAAACCUGAGACUCAGAGAAGUUAAAUGACUUGGUUAAGUCAACAUAGCUAUUAAAUGGCUAGGUCUCAAAAACAACUCUUCUGACCAAGAUUUCCCCCACAAUACUGUGUAGUAUCUCUCAUUAUUUGUGGCACAAACAGCACACAUCCAUUAAUGCUAGAUUCAGGUUCCUUUCCAUAAAUAGAAAAAGUAGAUAGAAAUAUAUAUUCCCAAGUUUCUCUUAUGGUACAGUGAAAGGAGUGUCAGAAUUGGUGUCAGAUGUAGAUUCAAAACCUGGUUCAGACAUAGCUAUUACUUAUCUAAAUAAGUUAUUCAACAUGUGUCUUAGUUUCUUUCUUAGCAAAAUGAAGAAUUUAGACUUAUAGGUUCCUAAUUUCUUCUUUAGUUCUAAAUAUAUGAUCCAAUGUCAGCAUUGUGAUCCUUUUUCUCUUCAGUGGUCUAUACAAUCUUAUGAUUAUGCAAUCAUUCUAUAACUUUUGGUGAUUAGAGGCAUUGUGAUAUUGUGGAUCUGAUGCUGGAUGUGAAGUCCAAAGACUUGUGUUCAAAUCUCACCCAUGAUACUUUCUAUGUGAAUCUGGAAAAGUCAUCUAAACCUCUCCAUGUUUCAGAAAACUUCUUAUUAUCUGUUAAAUCACAAAUGAGUUAUCAUCUGUAAUUUUGCCUAACAUUGGAGCAGUUAAUGUUUGCCAUGGAGGAAAGUCCCUGAGACUUAAAGUUGUUUUUCACUCUAGCUCUGCCACCAAUCAGCUAUGUAAUCUUAAACAAAUUGAUGUUGGAGGAAGGAUGGUCCUGGGUUGGAGAAGUCCUAAAGAUCUCAAAGAUGCCCAGACCUCUUGGAGGGGCUCCAACCACCUGUUUAUAGGGAAAACUCCCCAAGCGAUCUGCACCUACAAUUCAAUUGGAGAUUUUGGCCUGGGGCAUAAUCACCACCCUCUAUUGGGUUGAAAAUUAGUCCUUCAAAUUGCUCCCUAGCUUGGGGCCAUAAAAAUCCAAUAUAACCAAAAGCCUGUAAACCCAUCUCUGCAAAAAAUUCUAACAGAAUUUUGCCUGCUGAGAAAGUUGUUUGCUCAGUGUAAUAAACCCUUUUUUUUCUUCCACAAACCUUGCCUGUAUUCAUUUGGGUUUGUGAAUUCUUUCACAAAGCCUGCUGACCUCUUUGUAGUGGCUAGAAACUGGAAACUGAGUGGAUGCCCAUCAGUUGGAGAAUGGCUGAAUAAAUUGUGGUAUAUGAAUAUUAUGAAAUAUUAUUGUUCUGUAAGAAAUGACCAACAGGAUGAUUUCAGAAAGGCCUGGAGAGACUUACACAAACUGAUGCCGAGUGAAACAAGCAGGACCAGGAGAUCAUUAUAUACUUCAACAACAAUACUAUAUGAUGACCAGUUCUGAUGGCCCUGGCCAUCCUCAGCAAUGAGAUCAACCAAAUCAUUUCCAAUGGAGCAGUAAUGAAUUGAACCAGCUACGCCCAGAGAUAGAACUCUGGGAGAUAACUAAAAACCAUUACAUUGAAUUCCCAAUCUCUAUAUUUUUGCCCACCUGCAUUUUUGAUUUCCUUCACAAGCUAAUUGUACAAUAUUUCAGAGUCUGAUUCUUUUUGUAUAGCAAAAUAACAGUUUGGUCAUGUUUAAAAAAAAACAAAACAAAAAAAAAACAAAGCCUGCUGACACCGGCCAGAGGACCCUUUGCUGUCAGGGGAUCUCAACCCUCAUUUCUCAUACCUUAACAUCAUCACUUGAACUUUCUAGACUCAAGGGUAACUAGAUGAUAUAGUGGAUACAGCAUUGGCUCUCAAGUCAGGUGGAUUGGAAUUCAAAUUCAGCCUCAGACACUUAACAUUUAUAGGUUAGGUGGGUGAUUUUAGGCAAGUCAAUUAACCCCAAUUGCCUCAUAAAAAUGAUAUAGAUGAUUGCUAUGGUUUCUAUCAGAUUUAACAUUCUGUUAAUCUAGUAAUGUUUGCAUAUUUAGACCCAUUUUUAGUUACUUAUAAGCAGUAGGUAGUGACUUUAAAUUUCAUGGAAUGUAGGUUCUCUAAAUAUAGAUCUAGUCUCAAUAGUAUCAGGUUUUUCUAGUGUUUUUGGCUAUAGGGGGAAGAAAUGGUGAGGAUUUGUGAUUUCGUUGAUUCUGAAAAUUCUGUGUGCAAACUCUAUCCACUGAUUUAAACCAGGAACACAUCUGAAACAUAAAGUCUUAUAAGUUGUCUGAGGCAUUGAGAAAUUAAAUGAUUAACUUGUGGUUACAGGGCUAUCAAUAUUUUGCUAUGAUCCAGAUGGUUCUAGAGGAGACAGUGAGACUGGUGACAUUACCGAGUCCCGUCCCACUUAAAUCCAAUUCACUUGUAUGUCAUGACAUCAUUUCCCUGAUGUCAUGGUCUUCUUCAGGAACAAAGGACAAACAAUAAUGUCUGUGAGUAGUAGGAGGAGCUGCCUCAUUGGGUACCCAACUUGGAACUGUCCAGUUAAGCAACAUAUCUUCUUUUGUUUUCUUUCUCCCCUUUUCCCUUUCCUUUUCCUUUUCCCUUUCCCUUCCAUUUCCCUUUUUUCUUUUCUUCUUUCUCUCCCCUUUCUUCAGUCCACAUAAAAUAUUAUACCCUUACUUAUGGGUGCUCUGUCUAAAGGAAUGUGCCUUUGAUCACUGAUUCUACCUUAAAGAUCAUACCUUAAGACCAAAUCACUUUUGGCUCUCAUUGAUUGGCUAACAAUAGUUCCCACAGCAAGCCCUACUUGUUCACUCUUUGAGCCUUGAUUGACUCAAAAUGAAUGUAAAUAGCAUUUUUUUUUCUGUUUCUCCAGAGACCCUGAGGAUCUUCUCCUCCAAGAUUAUUAAUUUUUUUUUAACUAGGUAAAAGAGGUCAUUCUAUGUUUAAUUUCUUACCUAGCUGUAAGCACGGAUUGGAAAUUGUCUCAGUCACAAUGAGACCUGCUAAAACUUAAAAAGGCAAAAUCUCCCACUGCAUGUAAGGCCAUCUGCAGUUGUCCCUAGAAAUGUCUUGCCACUGAUUCAGAUGACUCUGGAAGAAAAAAGUGAGGCUAGUGGCUUUGCACAGUGUCUCUUCAAUCCAAUCCAUCCACAUGUCCCUGUGUCAUCUCCCUCAUAUCAUGGUUCUCUUUGAGAACAAAGGACAAACAAGAACACCAUGACCAUCACAUGCCAGAACCAGCAUUUAAUUCCUGACUCCAAGGAUACACCCAUAUCCAUUUAACCAUAUUGCUUUUUAUUUUAUAGAAUCAUAGAAUUAGAACUAGAAGGGAUCUUAAAAAUCAUUGUCUAACUUUUUUGGAUCCUCAGAGAAGACUAAGGCUCACAGAGGUUAAAUUCCUUGACCAAAAAUCACACAAACAGGAAACAUGUGAAGUGAUUUUAGCUGAGAUGACUUAAAAUUUAUUUUUGGACUGGAAAUAUAACAAAAGUAAAGCUUUGUUCCUUUUUUUUUAACCUCUCUUAUGCUAUGUUUGUACUUUUUCCUAGAAAAAGGAUGUCUAAGAAAACAAGAUUGCAAUAUCAUCAAAAAGUUUCUAGGACAGAAUACCUGAGUUUGUCAUGUAAUGAAAAUGGGAAUAAUGUAAAAUAGACAAUGUGUGAGUUACUUGUUGGGCUGGAACCUUAUGUAAGAAUAAAAUUAGAUCCCUUAUAAUUCCUGUUUCUGUGAAGCAUUUUUUAUCAAGUAUUUUUCUCAAGACCUUUGAACUUACUGUCUUUAGAAUGGUUAUGCUACCAAGUCUGUCUUGUUUGUAUACCUUACACAGGGUGGCAAUAGUCUUCCAGAUUUCAGUUUCAUAGUUUCAGGUACUAUUGCCAUAGAGGGCAAGGGAAGGGAGGUGUUAGAUAGUAAAAGUAUAUUUGAAAUGGAGAGAAAAAAAAAUCUACAUUUCAAUGAAAAUACUUUCAAGGCAUUUCAAAUAAGAAUUGGAGAGAAAUAAUUACAAAGUUUGGAAAGAAAGAAUCUUAGCUUUGAUCUGCCUUUCUUCUGUAAAGCAAUUAAAAUAAGCAAUUUUUCAAAUACUAAGCAGAAAAUUACUAAUGGCUGAACCCAAAAGCUUUCAUUUGCUUCUCAGGGCUUUCAUUCCUCUAAAAAAAAAAAAAAAAAAAAAAAGACAAAAAAAAUUAAGGUGGCUUUUCAGAUAGAUUAAUGCAUAAAGCAUUUACUGGUUGGCUGUCAUAAAACUACAGCAGCAUAGAAUAGCUGAGAUUAAGAGCUAGAUUUAAAUCAUGCAACAAACAGUCCAGUUAAUAUCAAUGUCUAAUUAAGAAAUGCAUAAGAAGUCUGUAAUGUUGAUUUGAUGGAGAAAAACUCUAAUAGUGCUCUAUUGGAAUUUUCCAUUUCAAUUGCCUUUGCAGACUUUUAAUGGCUAUGUCUCUUACAUAGUCUUUUGUAUUCACAAUUUAGGAAUUAAAAUCAGGACCUAAUGUAGACAUUAACUAUUCUGGAGGGUAGGCUUUAUAAACAAAAAGAAGUAACAAUUCUUGAAGAUUUAAUUUGAAAAAGACUACUAGAAUUGGACUUCAAAGUUAAGCUUUUACUUUUUUCUUCACUUCUUAAAACUUCAGAUCAAUUGGCAUUCAUAUGUAGUGAGAUAUGGAAUACUUUGUCAUUUACUUAAGUUAUUGCACUGAAUGUGUUGAAUUGUAAUUGUACUAGCUGCGUAGAUUGUAAUCUCUUGGCAUGUCUCCUCAGCAACAGCAAUGUGAACAAUUAACCAUUUGUCUACCAUUAAGAAUCAUAAAGGCUGGAAUUGUUGAUGUUGGGAAGUCUAAUGUGAUUGGGUGCAGUUUCAGUGGUCUUCUUAGGUAUUCCUAAAUGUUCUCAAGUAACUGAAUUAAUGACUAUAUCAAUUGUUAUGUUUCUAAUGUCUUUAGAAAAGAGACUGAAGAAAUGAAAAACUAGUCCUUGUAUUAAAUCAGUAAUGUUAUCACUACCUUAGUGUUGAUCCAGAGGGAAUUAGAGCAAGAUUUGAAACACUAAAUAACCCUAAUGACACUAGGAAGAAGCUCACCAGGGAGUUGUUUGAGAGUUUGUCAGAGCACAUUAAAAUACAAUACAUUCACAUAAUAAAAAAGGGCACAUCAUUCCAUCUGUCUAUACAUUCCUUUCCAAUAUUAUAUUUGUCUUGGGACUUUUCAAAAUUACAUCACCUAACUCUAUUCCUUUACUUAGUGAGUAAAAAUGUGGGGAAAAUGGAGAUCAAAUCAGAAUAAUUAUAUAAGUGAAAGUCUACAAUUUAAAUCAUUAUUGCUUAAGAUACCAUUGCUUUAAUCAGUCCUAUCAUAAAUCAGUUCUUUCCACAUAAGAAGUUCUUAAAGUGCUGUUAAACAAAUCAUGCCCCUUAAAAGGAAUGAUGCAAUUGGAAAGCUUCUGAAGAUAGAUAGAAAAUCCUUUUUAGCUUCUAGUCAAAUUCAGCUAUUUUACACAAUAGCUUCGAUUCUAUAAACAUCCAGUUCUUUCUUGGAAAUUGUUACAAAUAUUUAUGCCCAUGGUAUUGCAUUUAAAUAAAAAAAAUACUGUUCUUAGGAAAAAUUCAAACUUAUAGUUAUUGCUUCUACUCAUUGGGAAUAAAGUCUUAUUUUUACUCCCUUCUUUGACCUUUUGGACUCAAUAUAUUGCUGCAUUAGUAAUGUGAAUAUAGUGCUUUCUAUGCUGUCUAGUGGUUAUUUGAGGAAAUUCAAGUCAAAAACAUUUACUAAAGGCAUAUUAUAUUCAAGGUACAUACUGGACACUGGGGAACCAGAGACAAGGAAAAACAAGUCUCUGCUUUAAAGAAAUUAACAUUCUGUUAUGGAACAUUGUUAUUCUAUAAGAAAUGCUCAGCAGGACGAUUUCAGAAAGGCCUGGAGAGACUUACAUGAACUGAUGCUAAGUGAGAUGAGAAGAACCAGGAGAUCAUUGUACACAGCAACAGCAAAAUUGUCUGAUGAGAAAUUUUGAUGGAUGUGGCACUUCUCAACAAUGAGACGAUUCAGACUAGUUCCCAUGAUCUUGUGAUGAAGAGAGCCAUCUACACCCAGAGAGAGAACUGUGGGAAAUGAGUGUGGAUCACAACAUAGUAUUCACAUUAUUUUUAUUUUUGUUUGCUUGCAUUUUAUUUUCUUUCUUCUUUUUUUUCCCCCUUUUUGAUUUGAUUUUUCUUGUGCAGCAAGAUAAUUGUAUAAAUAUGUAUGCAUAUAUUAGAUUUAACAUAUAUUUUAAUCAUAUUUAACAUAUAUUGGAUUACUUGCUCUCUAGGGGAGGGGUGGGGAGAAGGGGGGGAAUGGGAACACAGAGUUUUGCAAGGGUUAAUGUUGAAAAAUUAUCCAUGCAUAUCUUUUGAAAAUUAAAAAGUUUUAAUUAAAAAAGGAAAUAAAUUAAUAUUCUAUCCAUAAGAAUAUAAUUUUUUUAGUCACAUAUUUUGUAAGACAUUUUGGAGUUUAAUGGCUGGAUUAAUUUUUUUUAUUUUUUUGAAAAGUUGGGGCAAGUUACUUUUUUGUCCUGUGCAAUUUUCAUUCAUGAUUUCUUAAAAUAUAGCUCUGAAAAAACAGGUUUUUCCCAUCAUUAUUCAAAUGGACAUACUUUGUUGUGUCUUUAAACCCAAAUCAUCCUGGCUUUUUUAAAAAUGGCCAAUAACAGCCUCCAUCCCAAACCUCUGUUGCUCAAUCUUUAGAUUUUGAUGGCUUAGGAGUAUAAAUGGCAAUUGUUUUCUGUUCUGACCAGAAAUUCUAAAGGUCUUUCCUUUUCAAAUUGAUACUUUUGUGAUGAUAAACUAGGUUGUCUUUUGUCACUUUUCUUAUUUAGCCCUUGGUUGUUGUCCUACCAAAAUAAUAUGAUUAUAUUAGACUCAAGUUACUAUCUGACUGUGGCUGAUAACAACAGUACAAAUUCAAAAUGCUCUACCACAGAUUGGGCACAAAUAAGUCAUGUGAACAUUUGUGUUGGAUUCUAAAUCUGUACAUCUCAUUUCUUUUUGAACUACUUUAGUUCUGCUUUGCUCAUAGAGCUGCAGCUACUGUAGCUCAGAACUCCCUGGCUCAAAACAUUGUGAGCAUUAAUCUUCCAAAAGCUGGUAUCAUAGGAAUGUCUGAUUAUGCCAGUUAUUCUCUAGUAUCUGACCAAAUUAUCCACCUACACAGCAAUGGCAAUCUUUUGGACUUCUGACAAAUAAAUCAUAUGGCUUUGAAAAUGUGGAAAGAGCCAAACUAUAAUAUUGAUUCUUUACUUGCAUACUUCAUCGAGUAUAGCACCAAUGUCUUCUAUAUCAUGAAAUCAACUCCAAAGUUCUUCAGAGAGACUUUAUUGCAAUAAUCAGACAAAAACUAAUCCAGUCAAUUGCACCAAUAAAAUUAGCUGAGAGGUGGUCAUGCAGCAGAAAGCAGGAAUGUUUAUACAAACUGUCUUGUGGCUGUAAAACAAUAAUACAUGUUACACAAACACUUGAUCAUGAUCAUUCCUGGGCUUUCUUCUUCUACAUAUAGCUUGACUAGAUUCCAAUUAAUUAUGCUCCAUCACAAAGUCAACUACAGAGUAGGGAUUAGAAAAAAAAAGUCACUGGAACAAAUAAAGAUUUGGACAGCAAAGUUCAGGAAAGUCAAAUAUGAAAAUGUUCAAUCUAGAGAAGAGAAGAUUGAGAAAAGACUUAGAAAUGAUCUUUAAUAUCCAAAAUAUUUUGUGAAGUUUAACUAACUUUAUUCUCUUUUCCCUGAGACAGAACAAGAUAAAAUAACCUUAAGGUGUGAUUCAGUUUAGGCAAGAUACAAAGAAGAGUCAAAUGUAACUUAGUGGAUAGAGAACUGGCCUCAAAUACAGGAAAGACCUGAAUUCAAGUCCUGACUGACAUAGACUACUGUAUGAGUUUAGCAGCUGCCUGCGUAUCCCACUGUAAGUCAUGAUGAAGUAAAUUGGAGCUCUAAAAACAGAUGUACUGAAGUGCUUCAAGAAGAUUCAAGCAAAUGAGACUCAGAAUUCACAUCUAUCUGUGAGAUUUUUCUGUACCUGAGGAUACAAUUCAUCUGGGCCAAGUAAUGAAAAUAAUUGUCAACAGCAGCACAACUCCAGUCAUCGGGAUCUCCAAAUACUCAAGGGCCACUAUAAAAGGCCAUAGAAUGGGAAUAGAAGACAAGAGGUGGCCAGUGUGAUUCUAAUUGCUGAUUGUGCAAAGAUGCCCUUGAUAAACCUGAUUACUUCAGCCUGUACUUGUUAAGGGACAGGGCCAAGGGAAGAGGUAAUGAGGAUAAGUAUUGAUGAAGUGCCUACUCUAUGCCAGGCAGUGAACUAAUUAUCUCCUUUAAACCUUAUAGCAACCCUGUGAGUCAUGUGAGUUUUAGAGCCACCAAUCAUUAUCAAGAAAAGAAUGAAACUCAACGCCUGACAAGAAGAUGUGCUCUGAAGCAGCAUAAUAUUCAAUUUAUUUCCAAGGCUACUGAUUUAGGAAGAAAAAGGAGAAUAAGUGGAAUAAUUAAUUUCCUACCUUGAAGUGUCAUUGGGAUCUACCUCUGGGCAGAAACUGAGAAGUUGGUCUAUGCAAAGGAAACCUAUUCUUAGACUGUCUCUGGCUUUAUUGAAAGCAACUUUUAAAAUGCAAGAGCACUUUGUUGAACGACAGCUGGAUGGAAAUGUUGUCUGUCAAAGAUAAAAAGAAAUGGGUACUAAGGCUGCUAAUCUAUAAAUCUAGAUGGGGUAUCCAAGAUGUACACACAGACAUAUGUUUGAUAUGGGUAAACUUUAAACAGGUAGUGAUUGAACAUUAGGUAAAAUAUGUCAAGUUUUCCAUUCAGUGAUAUAUUCAAUACAGCCUCAUAAAUGCACCUAUCAUUUGGGAAUUCUACAAGGAAAUCAAUAGCAAGAAAAUGUUCACAAAUUCUCAAAAUAUGUCAAAAAACUAUGUCAUCCUAAAUGAAGGAUGGUGGAACCAUGCUUAACAUUUAUUUAUUUAUUUAUUUAUUUUAUUUUAUUUUUUUAUUUAAUAGCCUUUUAUUUACAGGAUAUAUGCAUGGGUAACUUUACAGCAUUAACAAUUGCCAAACCUCUUGUUCCAAUUUUUCACCUCUUACCCCCCCCACCCCCUCCCCUAGAUGGCAGGAUGACCAGUAGAUGUUAAAUAUAUUAAAAUAUAAAUUAGAUACACAAUAAGUAUACAUGACCAAAAUGUUAUUUUCAUGCUUAACAUUUAGACUUAUUUGGGUAGUUUUGUUUUCUGGGAUUCUUUUAGUUAUGAGAGACUGAAUAAUUAUAAUUUUUCUUUUUUAAAAAAUUUAAACUCUUCAAAGUUAUUAUUUUUCUUUUCUGUUUUCAUUUUGCCAUGCAGGUAUAUUUUUUCCCUCUUAUCUGAGUUAUUGUCCUAUCAAGUGAGUAAUUUGGCUACUGAAAGGGGCAAAAUAAAUGAACUUUUAGGAUCACAAAUAAACUUUUGCAUAAAGAAAAAUAAUUAAAUCAACUUCUGAAGGAAAGAAAAUAUUGUUCCUUUCAUGUAUGAAUAGUUUGCAUAUGAAUAUGAUAGAAAAAGAACUUUUGUUUAUCUGAAAGAAAUGAAAUUCAAGAAUUAAGAUAGUUUUGGGAUAAAAUGUGAGGAAACACAGAUGGCUAAGAAGGCCAAAUAGAGAACUUGUAGUGUCAACCAAAGAUCUUGAACGAUCUCUUUGAGAAUAAGAAGAUGAUUGAGGUAAAGGGCAUUGUGGCCACUCAGGUCAUUUAUUUAUAGUGUUUGCAUCAUUGAAACUAACAAAGACAUGAAUUAAAUAAUAGUUUGGAGAUUUGGGGAGAAGGAUUAAAAAUACAUUCAUAAAAUCAUAUAUCCAUACAAUCAAAAAGACAAUCACAAAGAAAAAAUAAGUCAGUUUUGCCCUGGAGAUGAUGGUUUGAGCCAUCAGAUAAGUUGAAGAAUCUAGGAAAAGAGAAAAUAAUGGGACAGUUAAGAAAGUAGAGGCUGAAUGAGAAGGCAAUAGCAGGAAUAGCCAAUUGAUAGGAAGGCUUUUAAAAACCUUAACAUUAGGGAAGUUGCUAACUGGAGGGAAAAAAUUGUUUUGUGGACCAGGUGAAAAGAAGGCUAGAAGUCUUCUGAUUCUUGAACAGCCAAACACUGCUGGUUUUCUGUAUUACUUAUUAGUUUUGGAGAGAGCCAAAAUCUGUCAGAAGUGUCUGGUUGUUCUCUUUUGCCCCAACAAGGGAAGCAAGAAAAACAAAUAGGGAAAGACAGGUUUAAUGGUCAAUUCUGCUUGUUAUAACAAGCUGAUAGGAUGAUGCAGAUAGUUAAUAGAAUGAUACAGAAUCCUCCUAAUUGAGAGCCUGGCUGGGCUAGUCUGUCUUACCCAGAGGAUCAGUCUGAGACCUUUGCAGUUCACUGGUUCAAAGGGAACUUUUUGUCAUUAUAAUAAAGUAAUAUUUCCUCAGCACCCUAAAGGGUUAUUGUGAAUUUCCAAAGCCUAUUUCUUCUUAACCACUUUAUGAGUAGGAAACAAGCAAGUUUGCACUGCAGUGAAAUGCUAAUGUACAGAAAGAUGAGCAUUUGGUGGAGAAAUGGCUUUAUGGAAUAUAGUUUGUUCUCGAAGAGCUCUGAGCUGCUAAGUUCGGAGUUGUAAGUUACCUUGAAUAUAUGGGUUGUCCUUAUUCAUGUGCCUCUUCUCUAGAUUUCUAUAAUUAUUUGCCAAUUCAACCCCAUGAAUCCUAUAUGAAUAGGUGAAAUGAUGAGAAAGUUUACGUGUGAACUUUGAUAUAUUUAUUAUGAUUACAUUUGGAUUAAUAUUGACUGAUUGUAUUUGUGAUUAGCUAUUGCUUUCACCUCAUAAUUAAAUAAAUCUUUCUGCCUAAGAAUUAAUUGUGUCAUCAUUGUGACUGAUUUCGUAUGGAUGGGAAUCAUAACAGUGAGGGGUCAUGAACUACAGUGGUGAAUAGAAGGGAUAUUCCAACCCUUGUUAUGCCAAUAAAGUUAUCCUGGGGAUCCUGAGAGUAUCUGGUUUGCAGUAAAGUAGUAGCCUUUUUAGGGGAACCCACAUCUGUCAGCAUGACAGUAUGAGUAGCCCCAAAAUCAAGCAGGUA
This is a long non-coding RNA of Sarcophilus harrisii (Tasmanian devil), 11142 nucleotides long. NCBI's taxonomy places the organism in Eukaryota, Metazoa, Chordata, Mammalia, Dasyuromorphia, Dasyuridae. The record is from Ensembl.